GUAUACAACCACUGCACUGAUCGAUUUUUCCAUUUACAAUUGUUAAGAACAUGCAAGGACCAGUAUUGAUUCAAUCAGGACCAACGUCAUGAACGCAGCUGAACAGGAUAAUGCAAAGAAAUGGAAUCUCGGCGCGACUAAAAAAAGGAAUAAGAGAAAUGUACAGGAUAAAGAAGAAGUAAAAUAAGGACAAGCGAGGAAGAGACGUACUUUCGACGAAGGAAGAAACAAGGCAGGAUUACCCAUUAAGACCCUCGCUAUUUGUCCUGGACACAGCAGACUUGGUACAGGAUCGUGCAAGGAUGCAGAAAGAAGGG
RNAcentral lists this unclassified non-coding RNA (317 nucleotides) under Bombus terrestris (buff-tailed bumblebee). RNAcentral's name for it is "misc RNA ENSBTSG00005038479.1". The record is from RNAcentral. Lineage: Eukaryota; Metazoa; Arthropoda; Insecta; Hymenoptera; Apidae.